RNAcentral lists this small nucleolar RNA (107 nucleotides) under Corchorus olitorius. Its description in RNAcentral is "Plant small nucleolar RNA R71". It matches the Rfam family "Plant small nucleolar RNA R71". Rfam says of the family: R71 is a member of the C/D box family of snoRNAs containing the C (UGAUGA) and D (CUGA) box motifs. Lineage: Eukaryota; Viridiplantae; Streptophyta; Magnoliopsida; Malvales; Malvaceae. The record is from Rfam by way of RNAcentral.
ACUCCAUGGUGUGGACAUUUUCGUUGCAAAUCCUUGAAUCUUUCCCAGGCAUCAUGAAGUGUUUCGUUGUCACGUUACUUGAAACUAGUGAUGUCAGUUCUCAGCUU